Molecule: long non-coding RNA, 163 nt
Organism: Fundulus heteroclitus (mummichog)
Lineage: Eukaryota; Metazoa; Chordata; Actinopteri; Cyprinodontiformes; Fundulidae
Exons: 3
Source: RefSeq, a predicted model, not a curated record
CCAUCUGAAAGAGUUGGACCUGAGCUACAAUCAUCCAGGAGACUCAGGAGUGAAGCUGCUGUCGGCUGGACUGAAGGAUCCACGCUGGAGACUGGAAGCUCUCAGGGUGGAGCCUGCUGGAGUCCGAUGGUUGACACCAGGUCUGAGGAAGUAUUCCUGUCAA